This 201-nucleotide long non-coding RNA is filed under the name Gossypium raimondii (Peruvian cotton). RNAcentral's name for it is "long non-coding RNA (GRAI_LNC010828)". The record is from RNAcentral. Lineage: Eukaryota; Viridiplantae; Streptophyta; Magnoliopsida; Malvales; Malvaceae.
CAAAGAAAAGGGAACAUUUCGAGAAGGGAUGAGAUGUCGCAAAAUGGGACUUUGAAAGUAGAGAUCUUCGACGUUUAUGACAUAUAUUGUAACACCCCUAACCCGUAUCUGUCGUCGAAUAGGGUUACAGAGCAUUAUCGGAGUUUACAUUUCAGAACUAUAAAAAAUUUUAAAACAUUUAAUUCAUAUCAUCAAUCACAG